This 1398-nucleotide ribosomal RNA is filed under the name Triticum aestivum (bread wheat). RNAcentral's name for it is "partial small subunit ribosomal RNA". Lineage: Eukaryota; Viridiplantae; Streptophyta; Magnoliopsida; Poales; Poaceae. The record is from RNAcentral.
AUGAUAUGGAAGCUUGCAGAGACUGGAAUGAAUGUUGCGCGUAUGAAUAUGUCCCAUGGUGACCACCAGUCACACCAAAAAGUGAUUGAUUUGGUCAAGGAGUACAACGCAGAGAACACUGAUGGCAACACUAUUGCUAUUAUGCUGGACACAAAGGGUCCGGAAGUGCGAAGUGGGGAUCUUCCUGAGCCAAUCAUGCUUGCAGAAGGUCAAGAGUUCAAUUUCACGAUUAAAAGAGGGGUGAGCACCGAAGACACUGUCAGUGUGAAUUACGAUGACUUCAUAAGCGAUGUUGAAGCUGGUGACAUACUGUUGGUGGAUGGAGGAAUGAUGUCGCUUGCUGUGAAGUUGAAAACAGCUGACACAGUCAAGUGUGUAGUAGUCGAUGGUGGGGAGUUGAAAUCAAGGCGCCACCUUAAUGUGCGCGGAAAGAGCGCAACUCUGCCAUCUAUAACAGAGAAGGAUUGGGAAGAUAUCAAGUUUGGUGUCGAAAAUGGUGUUGAUUUCUAUGCUGUUUCGUUUGUGAAGGAUGCCAAAGUUAUUCAUGAACUCAAGGCUUACCUGAAAAGUGCUAAUGCGGAUAUACAUGUUAUUCCAAAAAUUGAGAGUGCUGAUUCAAUCCCAAACCUCCAGUCCAUUAUUGCUGCUUCAGAUGGGGCAAUGGUGGCUCGUGGAGAUCUUGGUGCUGAACUUCCAAUUGAGGAAGUUCCUUUACUACAGGAGGAGAUUAUCAGAACAUGCCGAAGCAUGCAGAAACCAGUAAUUGUUGCAACAAAUAUGUUAGAAAGCAUGAUAGAUCAUCCAACUCCAACAAGGGCUGAAGUCUCUGAUAUAGCCAUUGCUGUUCGGGAAGCUGCUGAUGCCAUUAUGCUAUCUGGUGAAACUGCCCACGGGAAGUACCCAUUGAAGGCAGUAAAGGUGAUGCACACUGUGGCACUUAGAACAGAAUCCAGCCUAUACGACCCAGCUAAAGCUCCCAGUCUUGUUGCACGUCCAAAGGCGCUGCUCAACGAUGACUUCUGCAAAAGCCAAUUAAGUAAAAUGUUCGGAUCUCAUGCUACAAUGAUGGCGAACACCCUUCGUACACCGAUCAUUGUGUUUACACGUGUGGGCUCCAUGGCUGUCCUUCUGAGCCACUACCGUCCCUCGUCCACCGUAUAUGCAUUCACUAAUGAAGUACGAGUGAAGCAACGGCUGGCACUCUAUCAGGGCGUGGUUCCUAUUCUCAUGGAGUUCUCAGAUGACGCGGAAGAGACUUUCUCAAGAGCAAUUACCAGCUUGCUGGAUGCGAAAUACAUGAAUGAAGGGGACUAUGUCACCCUGGUUCAGAGCGGGUCGCAGUCGAUCUGGAGAGAGGAAUCUACCCACCACAUACAAGUGAGGAAAGUCCAAUGCUGA